GUCCCCAUAGACUAGUGGUCAGGUCACGGGCCUUUCACGCCCGGAGCAGGGGUUCAAAUCCCCUUGGGGAUA
RNAcentral lists this transfer RNA (72 nucleotides) under bacterium. RNAcentral's name for it is "tRNA-Glu". It matches the Rfam family "tRNA". Rfam says of the family: Transfer RNA (tRNA) molecules are approximately 80 nucleotides in length. The record is from RNAcentral.